RNAcentral lists this ribosomal RNA (1928 nucleotides) under Escherichia coli. RNAcentral's name for it is "partial 23S ribosomal RNA". It matches the Rfam family "Bacterial large subunit ribosomal RNA", at positions 322 to 2236 of the family's 2925-position model. Lineage: Bacteria; Pseudomonadati; Pseudomonadota; Gammaproteobacteria; Enterobacterales; Enterobacteriaceae. The record is from RNAcentral.
GUGUGUGUUAGUGGAAGCGUCUGGAAAGGCGCGCGAUACAGGGUGACAGCCCCGUACACAAAAAUGCACAUGCUGUGAGCUCGAUGAGUAGGGCGGGACACGUGGUAUCCUGUCUGAAUAUGGGGGGACCAUCCUCCAAGGCUAAAUACUCCUGACUGACCGAUAGUGAACCAGUACCGUGAGGGAAAGGCGAAAAGAACCCCGGCGAGGGGAGUGAAAAAGAACCUGAAACCGUGUACGUACAAGCAGUGGGAGCACAGAGCAAUCUGUGUGACUGCGUACCUUUUGUAUAAUGGGUCAGCGACUUAUAUUCUGUAGCAAGGUUAACCGAAUAGGGGAGCCGAAGGGAAACCGAGUCUUAACUGGGCGUUAAGUUGCAGGGUAUAGACCCGAAACCCGGUGAUCUAGCCAUGGGCAGGUUGAAGGUUGGGUAACACUAACUGGAGGACCGAACCGACUAAUGUUGAAAAAUUAGCGGAUGACUUGUGGCUGGGGGUGAAAGGCCAAUCAAACCGGGAGAUAGCUGGUUCUCCCCGAAAGCUAUUUAGGUAGCGCCUCGUGAAUUCAUCUCCGGGGGUAGAGCACUGUUUCGGCAAGGGGGUCAUCCCGACUUACCAACCCGAUGCAAACUGCGAAUACCGGAGAAUGUUAUCACGGGAGACACACGGCGGGUGCUAACGUCCGUCGUGAAGAGGGAAACAACCCAGACCGCCAGCUAAGGUCCCAAAGUCAUGGUUAAGUGGGAAACGAUGUGGGAAGGCCCAGACAGCCAGGAUGUUGGCUUAGAAGCAGCCAUCAUUUAAAGAAAGCGUAAUAGCUCACUGGUCGAGUCGGCCUGCGCGGAAGAUGUAACGGGGCUAAACCAUGCACCGAAGCUGCGGCAGCGACGCUUAUGCGUUGUUGGGUAGGGGAGCGUUCUGUAAGCCUGCGAAGGUGUGCUGUGAGGCAUGCUGGAGGUAUCAGAAGUGCGAAUGCUGACAUAAGUAACGAUAAAGCGGGUGAAAAGCCCGCUCGCCGGAAGACCAAGGGUUCCUGUCCAACGUUAAUCGGGGCAGGGUGAGUCGACCCCUAAGGCGAGGCCGAAAGGCGUAGUCGAUGGGAAACAGGUUAAUAUUCCUGUACUUGGUGUUACUGCGAAGGGGGGACGGAGAAGGCUAUGUUGGCCGGGCGACGGUUGUCCCGGUUUAAGCGUGUAGGCUGGUUUUCCAGGCAAAUCCGGAAAAUCAAGGCUGAGGCGUGAUGACGAGGCACUACGGUGCUGAAGCAACAAAUGCCCUGCUUCCAGGAAAAGCCUCUAAGCAUCAGGUAACAUCAAAUCGUACCCCAAACCGACACAGGUGGUCAGGUAGAGAAUACCAAGGCGCUUGAGAGAACUCGGGUGAAGGAACUAGGCAAAAUGGUGCCGUAACUUCGGGAGAAGGCACGCUGAUAUGUAGGUGAAGUCCCUCGCGGAUGGAGCUGAAAUCAGUCGAAGAUACCAGCUGGCUGCAACUGUUUAUUAAAAACACAGCACUGUGCAAACACGAAAGUGGACGUAUACGGUGUGACGCCUGCCCGGUGCCGGAAGGUUAAUUGAUGGGGUUAGCGCAAGCGAAGCUCUUGAUCGAAGCCCCGGUAAACGGCGGCCGUAACUAUAACGGUCCUAAGGUAGCGAAAUUCCUUGUCGGGUAAGUUCCGACCUGCACGAAUGGCGUAAUGAUGGCCAGGCUGUCUCCACCCGAGACUCAGUGAAAUUGAACUCGCUGUGAAGAUGCAGUGUACCCGCGGCAAGACGGAAAGACCCCGUGAACCUUUACUAUAGCUUGACACUGAACAUUGAGCCUUGAUGUGUAGGAUAGGUGGGAGGCUUUGAAGUGUGGACGCCAGUCUGCAUGGAGCCGACCUUGAAAUACCACCCUUUAAUGUUUGAUGUUCUAACGUGGACCCGU